Molecule: ribosomal RNA, 77 nt
Filed under: uncultured bacterium
Lineage: Bacteria
Description: partial 16S ribosomal RNA
Source: RNAcentral
UGAGUAACCUGCCCUUAACUCUGGGAUAAGCCUGGGAAACUGGGUCUAAUACCGGAUAUGACUCCUACGGGAGGCAG